Molecule: long non-coding RNA, 365 nt
Organism: Megalobrama amblycephala (Wuchang bream)
Lineage: Eukaryota; Metazoa; Chordata; Actinopteri; Cypriniformes; Xenocyprididae
Exons: 2
Source: RefSeq, a predicted model, not a curated record
AUACGACCUGUGGCCAAACUCGUCAGACUUCCAGCACUUCCGGAUGGAGGUGACGCUGACCCCAAGGACUAGGGAAUUUAUUCUCACACAUAUUAGCUAUGCUAAUCUGGGGGCGGCUGUUCUAAAUUCCCUGUAAGAGUAUACGGGAAGGACUUUUGUCAUGAAACAUCUUAUAGUGUAUUUCCACUGGGUGGCGCUAGUUUUCGCUAUUCCGCUAUUGUGUUUUUACUUUCACUUUUGCCAGCCGUUUGCUCCGCCAUUUCUUCAGGUGUUAAUGUGCGUGAUUGAAUAAAGACCACAUUUAAUACCUUGCACAUAACUGAAUGAUGCCAAAUAUGCAAACAAAUAUAAAGAGUUGAACUGUU